UGGGUAACCUGCCCUGGACUUUGGGAUAACCCUCGGAAACGGGGGCUAAUACCGGAUAUGACGGCUCACCGCAUGGCGUGGUUGUGGAAAGUUUUUCGGUCAGGGAUGGGCUCGCGGCCUAUCAGCUUGUUGGUGAGGUAAUGGCUCACCAAGGCGACGACGGGUAGCCGGCCUGAGAGGGUGACCGGCCACACUGGGACUGAGACACGGCCCAGACUCCUACGGGAGGCA
Molecule: ribosomal RNA, 231 nt
Filed under: uncultured bacterium
Lineage: Bacteria
Description: partial 16S ribosomal RNA
Rfam family: Bacterial small subunit ribosomal RNA
Source: RNAcentral